Molecule: microRNA precursor, 69 nt
Organism: Cercocebus atys (sooty mangabey)
Lineage: Eukaryota; Metazoa; Chordata; Mammalia; Primates; Cercopithecidae
Source: Ensembl
AAAGCAAGCUCAGGUUUGAGAACUGCUGAUGUCAUCCAUCAUAACUUCUGCGUUUCUCCUCUUGAGCAG